UAACAUCAAACUCAGAUGUUGAGCGUGAAGGAUAACGUUGCGUCAGCAACGGCCCGAAGGGCGAGGCGAAGCCGAGUCAUCCUGCACGACCCACCA
This 96-nucleotide small RNA is filed under the name Salmonella enterica. RNAcentral's name for it is "partial RtT sRNA". It matches the Rfam family "RtT RNA", at positions 50 to 130 of the family's 130-position model. Rfam says of the family: This family represents a bacterial cis-regulatory element known as RtT RNA. The exact function of RtT is unknown although it is thought that it may be involved in changing the cellular response in relation to amino acid starvation. Lineage: Bacteria; Pseudomonadati; Pseudomonadota; Gammaproteobacteria; Enterobacterales; Enterobacteriaceae. The record is from RNAcentral. RNAcentral also lists the same sequence under 12 other names.